AUACGUAGGUGGCGAGCGUUGUCCGGAAUUACUGGGUGUAAAGGGCGUGUAGGCGGGGAUGCAAGUCAGAUGUGAAAUCCCGAGGCUCAACCUUGGAGCUGCAUCUGAAACUGUGUCUCUUGAGUGUCGGAGAGGAAAGCGGAAUUCCCAGUGUAGCGGUGAAAUGCGUAGAUAUUGGGAGGAACACCGGUGGCGAAGGCGGCUUUCUGGACGACAACUGACGCUGAGGCGCGAAAGCGUGGGGAGCAAACAGGAUUAGAUACCCUGGUAGUCCACGCCGUAAACGAUGGAUACUAGGUGUAGGAGGUAUCGACCCCUUCUGUGCCGGAGUUAACACAAUAAGUAUCCCACCUGGGGAGUACGGCCGCAAGGUUGAA
This 377-nucleotide ribosomal RNA is filed under the name uncultured bacterium. Its description in RNAcentral is "bacterial SSU rRNA". It matches the Rfam family "Bacterial small subunit ribosomal RNA", at positions 523 to 898 of the family's 1533-position model. The record is from RNAcentral.